AGUUCCGUGUUCUAGUGGUAUGAUUUCUCCUUCACACGGAGAAGGUCCCGGGUUCGAUCCCCGGCGGGACUA
Transfer RNA from Schizosaccharomyces japonicus yFS275, 72 nucleotides. It matches the Rfam family "tRNA". Rfam says of the family: Transfer RNA (tRNA) molecules are approximately 80 nucleotides in length. Their secondary structure includes four short double-helical elements and three loops (D, anti-codon, and T loops). Further hydrogen bonds mediate the characteristic L-shaped molecular structure. tRNAs have two regions of fundamental functional importance: the anti-codon, which is responsible for specific mRNA codon recognition, and the 3' end, to which the tRNAs corresponding amino acid is attached (by aminoacyl-tRNA synthetases). tRNAs cope with the degeneracy of the genetic code in two manners: having more than one tRNA (with a specific anti-codon) for a particular amino acid; and 'wobble' base-pairing, i.e. permitting non-standard base-pairing at the 3rd anti-codon position. The record is from Rfam. Lineage: Eukaryota; Fungi; Ascomycota; Schizosaccharomycetes; Schizosaccharomycetales; Schizosaccharomycetaceae.